Molecule: ribosomal RNA, 209 nt
Filed under: uncultured bacterium
Lineage: Bacteria
Description: partial 16S ribosomal RNA
Rfam family: Bacterial small subunit ribosomal RNA
Source: RNAcentral
UCAGAUUGUCAGGCUGCAACUCGCCUGCAUGAAGUUGGAAUUGCUAGUAAUCGCGAAUCAGAAUGUCGCGGUGAAUACGUUCCCGGGCCUUGUACACACCGCCCGUCACACCAUGAGAGUUGGAAAUACCCGAAGCCUGUGAGCUAACAGUAAUGAGGCAGCAGUCGAAGGUAGAAUCAAUGAUUGGGGUGAAGUCGUAACAAGGUAAC